Molecule: long non-coding RNA, 2925 nt
Filed under: Homo sapiens (human)
Lineage: Eukaryota; Metazoa; Chordata; Mammalia; Primates; Hominidae
Description: non-protein coding lnc-CPM-2:10
Source: RNAcentral
AGACGCCCUGCGGCCGCUUUGCCUGACCAAAGUCUGUGGGCGUGGAACAGGCCCUGGGUUCUCCUACUGGGAAGAAUGAAGUUCAGGUACUCCAUGUGAUAUAUGGUUCCACAAUCCUCAGCGUGUUAACUGAAGCCUUGUUGAGUUUAACAAAGCUGCCAUUGAAGAUCUGGGGAAAGUGAAGAAGUUGCAACAGAGUUUUGGGCUCACACCAUUGAUACAUUUGAUCCUUAAGGCAAGUGACAAUUUGGGUUUCACAGGCCCACCCCGCCUCACUCCCACCCUCUUCUACUUAAUUCAGGAUGUGAAUAGCACAUGCCUUCCAUCUUCAGACAAACACUGAGGCCUGGACAAUGACCUGCAUUAGGUAGAUAGAAUCUACUGAAAGCUAAAAGCCUUUUCCUGUGUCUUAGCAGCACGGAAGCCACGCCUCCUUCCCCCCAAUGUUUGUGCAAACCCUAGAGAAGAGGAGACAGCCCCUAUGAUGUGUGAGGUUGAAUUUCCUGCCCUCAACCCAUCAAAUCAGGCAGAAUGAGGGCUCAGUCAGAACUACAACUACAAAAGAGAAAAAUUUUAAUGUGACUUUUCUUGUCUGCUCAGAUUUUUGGGUUAAGGUUCAUGCCAGCUACAUUCUUUGCAUAAUAAAAUAUAAAUAGAGUAUAAAUUGUUCUAGUUAGAGAAAACAGCAAAACAGUGCUCUCCCAAGGGCCCUAAUAAAUCACUUUACAGAAACGUGGAUGUGUGUUGGAUUUACAGGAUUUCUAUGCCAAGCAGAGAAGUACGUGAAAACAGGAAAGCAAAAUGCAUAAGUUGCAAUAAUAGUUUUGUGGUUUAGCUGAAUAAUGUCCUAUAUCAACAGAGGAUAAUGAUUUUAGUUUUUCAGUUGCCCCAAGAUCAUUUCCAUUACUGAUGAGGCUUGAAAUGUCUGUGAAGAAGAGUCAUUGCAAUUGAUUUAUUUGUCUGGCAAACUUUUUGUCAGCAAAUUCACCACUACCUCAAAAAUCUCACUAGCUACUCUAUGCUUAAGACAUUGGAAGCAUAAGCCACAAUGAAAACUAACUCUUAGCAUUAGAAUUCUAAGAAGCAGUAAUGUAUUUAUGAUUUUAUGUUAAAAAUCUCCCAGAUGUCAGCAUUUAAAUCACAAUUCAGUAAUAUAAGUAAUUUGAAAUUAGAAAGUUUUAUACUUCACCAUUCUAUUUUCCUCUUCAAAUUGAACACAGUUUGAAAGAAUUAAGAAAAGAAGCUAUAAAAAAUAAAUUGUUCAAGGAUUCUUCCUGUUUCUAAACACCACAAGAUUAUGAUGAUAGAGACAUCAUUUGAAGUGGUAGAGAGUACUGUGAAAUAUCUAUAUGUGAAUGUAAUGAAAAUGAAAAAAUAAUCUGAUGAAUUUUUAAAAUUAAUCUUGUUAGAGUCAUUUUUGAGAAAUUGUAUGCAAGUGUAUUGAUUGAAAAUGACCUUCUCAUUCAAGAAAAAUUUAUUGAGCACUUACCAAGUGUCAACAGGUGAAUGUGAAUAAAAUAGAUAUGGUCCCUGCCUUCUUGGAGUUGAAUAAAAUAGCAAACACUUAUUGAAUAUUUAUUAUAUGUUGUGCAUUAUAAUAUUAACCAAUGUUUAUUGAGUUGUUAUUAUAUGCCAACUAUGCCAAUCCUGUCCUAAGCAAUUUAUGUAUGUUAACUAAUUUAAUCCUCACAAUAAAUCUAUGAGGUAGGUACUAUUAUUUCUGUCAUAAAAUUACAAAGGCAUAGAGAGAUAAUUUGUCUAAGGUUCCAUAGAGUAAGUAGGGGACCCAGAAUUCAAUUCAAGGAGUCUUUUUGUUCUGCAUGACAUCUCAACUGCUAUAUAAAUAUUAUUUAGUUCCCAGGGCAAAUUUUUCAGGAUAAUAUUCUUAUUCUCUCAAUUUUACAGAAGAGAAAACUGCAGUGUAAAGAGGUGAAAUAACUCACCAAAAGUUAACUGACAAUGAUCCUACCCACUACAUCACACUGCUUAACUGGGAAGACACGCAAUUUAACAAGUACCAACCAGGCUCCACAUUUAAACUCUGACCCCGUUUGACCUUAAAGUAAUGCAUUUUUCUUCAAAGCAGACACUUCGCCACCCCAAAAAAAACCAUAUCUGAAAAGACAUAAUGUACUUAAUCAAUGGCUUCCUGCUAUAAUCACCACAACCACAUCCUUUCCUAGAAUCGUAUCUGUCUUAUUGAAUCCUUCCAUUAGCUUUUCUCCUAUACAUGAAGUUCAAAUAGCACACCUGAGUUUUUGAGGGCAUACACAACUUACACAUUCCAGGCUCAAAUAUUUUUUUCCUCCCCUGACUCAUGAACUUUUUGAAAUUUAACAGUUUCUUCUAUCUUUUAUGCUACCUGGUCUAUCUGAACCAAACAUAUAUAUUUUGCAGUUUCCUCCUAAAAUACAUUCAAAGCACUGUUUUGCUUCGCAUUGCUGAUAUUUAACUCCUUUGCAAUAUCACUGCUACUUAUACACAAACAAAAAUCUGGUGUUUUUUAAGAGGAAGCCAAACUAAAUAAAUCAUUUUAAAGAUAUAUAUAUGGUUGGGUGUGGUGGCUCAUGCCUGUAAUACCAGCACUUUGGGAGGCUGAGGCGGGUGGAUCUCCUGAGGUCAGAAGUUCGAAACAAACCUGGCCAUCAUGGUGAAACCCCGUGUCUACUAAAAAAUACAAAAAUUAGCCAGGCAUGGCGGUGUGUGCCUGUAAUCCCAGCUACUUGGGAGUCUGACGCAGGAAAAUCACUUGAACCCGGGAGAUGGAGGUUGCAGUGAGCCAAGAUUGCACCAUUGCACUCCAGCCUGGGAAACGAGAGCGAAACUCCAUCUCAAAUAUAUAUAUAUAGGUUGAGCGCAGUGCUCACGCCUGUAAUCCCAGCAUUUUGGGAGACUAAGGUGGCGGAUCAUGAGGUCAGCAGUUCG